UACGGAGGGCGCAAGCGUUACUCGGAAUCACUGGGCGUAAAGAGCGUGUAGGCGGGUUAAUAAGUCAGAAGUGAGAUCCAAUAGCUUAACUAUUGAACUGCUUUUGAAACUGUUAACCUAGAGUAUGGGAGAGGUAGAUGGAAUUUCUGGUGUAGGGGUAAAAUCCGUAGAGAUCAGAAGGAAUACCGAUUGCGAAGGCGAUCUACUGGAACAUAACUGACGCUGAGACGCGAAAGCGUGGGGAGCAAACAGG
RNAcentral lists this ribosomal RNA (253 nucleotides) under uncultured bacterium. RNAcentral describes it as "partial 16S ribosomal RNA". It matches the Rfam family "Bacterial small subunit ribosomal RNA", at positions 524 to 776 of the family's 1533-position model. The record is from RNAcentral.